GUCUACAGCCGUGCCACCCUGAACAAGCCCAAUGUCUGAUCUCAGAAGAUAAGCAGGGUUAGGCCUGGUUAGUACUUGGAUGGGAGACCACCUAGGAAAAAUAGGUGUUGUAGGCA
This 116-nucleotide ribosomal RNA is filed under the name Pteropus alecto (black flying fox). The record is from RNAcentral. Lineage: Eukaryota; Metazoa; Chordata; Mammalia; Chiroptera; Pteropodidae.